Molecule: long non-coding RNA, 1982 nt
Filed under: Vitis vinifera (wine grape)
Lineage: Eukaryota; Viridiplantae; Streptophyta; Magnoliopsida; Vitales; Vitaceae
Description: long non-coding RNA (VVIN_LNC007893)
Source: RNAcentral
CUGUACGUAUGGAGUAUAUUGGAGAAAUUACUAUGAACUCUAAAUCUUAUUUUUCUGAAUUUCUGGAUGCAUUUAAUUGGCCUGACUCACUUUUCCAAUUCCCAGCUAUGAAUUAUGAAGAAGAAUUGUUACCUGGAAUACUGUCAUCUUUUACAUAAUUCAAAAUGGAGUAAAAUUUUAUAUUUAUGUAUUUUCUGUAUUAUUUUCAUAUUCUGGAAAUAGAAAAUAUCAUGAUCAUCAGGUCUCAUGUUUAUUUUAUGGUAAUUGUUGAUGGUUUCUUUUAUGACAUAAAUGUUGGUGUGUCUUGCCUAACAAAAAAAAAAAAAAUGUUGGGGUUUGUGUCUUAUGUUUUUCUUUUUGGUUUUCCUAAUAAAACUUGGAUAGUUUUGAAACUCUAGACCUUGGUAGGAGUUUAGAGUGGAUCACCUAGGGUGGGUAUUCCUAAAAAAAAAUAAUCCCAAGAUAGUCGACUCAGUUGAACUCAAUGAACUGCUUGAAUUUGGCCACUUGGGACCUCUUUCACCACUCAGUUCUAUUUGUGGUUAUAACCAUUGUUAAAUUAUAGGUUUUCAUAUCUUCUUAGGAUCUCAGCCUACUUUCAUUUAUCUUUCUCUCAUCUAUUCAAUGCCUUCAACAUGAUUGAACCAUUACUGCCUGUUGGUGGAGACACUGCUCGUCAUUGCUCAUGGCCAAGCAAUCUUCGAUGAUUUUCACUUACCAAACCUCUAGUACGGAAGCAAACUCUGAGCUUCACAAAGAAAUGAUCAUUUAUUUUGAACAUGUGAAGUUUCAGAUAUUCCAAAGAAAGAGCAGAAAUGGAUGAGGAGGGAUUCGGACCCCGGACACUGUGGUUUGUAGCCAUGUGCUCUAAUCCUCUGAGCUACAGGCCCCACCCCAUCUCCACUAUCUCUGCAUAAUUUUGUUGUUGGAAGAUGGGAAACCCCUAAACUUAGAACAGAAAGUGAGUUUAGUAAAUCCAGAAGUAAACAUUUGUAGGUGCUAUCUGCCUGCCUAGUAUAAAGUUCUUCACUCUCAAAUUAAAUUCUUAUUUCCAUCAUGCACAUCCUUUGAGUUCAGCAUGAGAAAGAAAUGUGACCUGCAACUCUAACCAUUUCAUAUUUGCUAAACAAAAAUCUUGAUGGCCCUGAACUAGUAGUAAUAGUUGUAUGGUUACCUUGGAUUCAUUAAUUUUCAGUUAUAUACUUUUUGUUAAAUAUCUUUCCUUUAUUAAUUGAUAACCUAGCAAGAUGAUUAUUACCCUUCAUAUGCUCUUACUUUUAUGUUUUUGAUUAAUUAAUACAUGUCAGAUGUGUUCACUAUGCACUAUAUUGCAAGGAAAUGGCAUAACUGGUGAGAUGCCAAAAGAGUUGGGAAAUUUGUCAAAUCUAACAAACUUAGAUUUGGGAAAUAACAGAUUAAUGGGUGAAAUACCAUCUACCCUUGGAUCUUAAGAAGCUACAGUAUUUGUCAGUAACACCAUCUUCAUUGUGUUAAAUAUAUAUCUCUGCAUAGUUUUGUUGUUGGAAGACGGGAAACCCCUAAACAUAGAACAGAAAGUGAGUUUAGUAUAUCCAGAAGUAAACAUUUGUUGGUGCUAGCUGCUUGCCGAGGAUAAAGUUCUUCACUCUCAUAUUAAAUUCUUAUUUCCAUCGUGUACAUCCUUUGAGUUCAGCAUGAGAAAGAAAUGUGACCUGCAGCCCUAACUAUUUCAUAUUUGCUAAACAAAAAUCUCAAUGGCCCUGAACUAGUAGUAAUAGUUGUAUGGUUACCUUGGAUUCAUUAAUUUUCAGUUUUAUACUUUUUUGUUAAAUAUCCUUCCUUUAUUAAUCAAUAACCUAGCAAGAUGAUUAUUACCCUUCUUGUGCUCUUCUAUGUUUUUGAUUAAUUAAUACAUGUCAGAUGUGUUCACUAUGCAGUACAUUGGAAGGAAAUGGCAUAACUGGUGAGAUACCAGAAGAGUUGGGAAAUUUGUCAAAUCUGAC